AACGAACGCUGGCGGCAGGCUUAACACAUGCAAGUCGAGCGAGAUCUUCGGAUCUAGCGGCGGACGGGUGAGUAACGCGUGGGAACGUGCCCUUUUCUACGGAAUAGCCUCGGGAAACUGAGAGUAAUACCGUAUACGCCCAGUAAUGGGGAAAGAUUUAUCGGAGAAGGAUCGGCCCGCGUUAGAUUAGGUAGUUGGUGGGGUAAUGGCCUACCAAGCCGACGAUCUAUAGAUGGUUUGAGAGGAUGAUCAGCCACACUGGGACUGAGACACGGCCCAGACUCCUACGCGAGCCAGCAGUGGGGGUUCUUAGACAAUGGGGGCAACCCUGAUCUAGCCAUGCCCAGUGAGUGAUGAAGGCCUUAGGGUUGUAAAGCUCUUUCAGCUGGGAAGAUAAUGACGGUACCAGCAGAAGAAGCCCCGGCUAACUCCGUGCCAGCCGCCGCGGUAA
This 451-nucleotide ribosomal RNA is filed under the name uncultured bacterium. RNAcentral's name for it is "partial 16S ribosomal RNA". It matches the Rfam family "Bacterial small subunit ribosomal RNA", at positions 29 to 523 of the family's 1533-position model. The record is from RNAcentral.